This 520-nucleotide ribosomal RNA is filed under the name uncultured Glomus. RNAcentral's name for it is "SSU rRNA". It matches the Rfam family "Eukaryotic small subunit ribosomal RNA", at positions 569 to 1091 of the family's 1831-position model. Lineage: Eukaryota; Fungi; Glomeromycota; Glomeromycetes; Glomerales; Glomeraceae. The record is from RNAcentral.
AGCAGCCGCGGUAAUUCCAGCUCCAAUAGCGUAUAUUAAAGUUGUUGCAGUUAAAAAGCUCGUAGUUGAAUUUCGGGGUUAGUAGGUUGGUCAUGCCUCUGGUAUGUACUGGUCUCACUGAUUCCUCCUUCCUGAUGAACCGUAAUGCCAUUAAUUUGGUGUUGCGGGGAAUUUGGACUGUUACUUUGAAAAAUUAGAGUGUUUAAAGCAGGCGCACGCUUGAAUACAUUAGCAUGGAAUAAUGAAAUAGGACGUUUGAUUCUAUUUUGUUGGUUUCUAGGAUCGACGUAAUGAUUAAUAGGGAUAGUUGGGGGCAUUAGUAUUCAAUUGUCAGAGGUGAAAUUCUUGGAUUUAUUGAAGACUAACUACUGCGAAAGCAUUUGCCAAGGAUGUUUUCAUUAAUCAAGAACGAAAGUUAGGGGAUCGAAGACGAUCAGAUACCGUCGUAGUCUUAACCAUAAACUAUGCCGACUAGGGAGCGGAUGAUGUUAAUUUUUUAAUGACUCAUUCGGCGCCUUAA